This 451-nucleotide ribosomal RNA is filed under the name uncultured bacterium. RNAcentral's name for it is "bacterial SSU rRNA". It matches the Rfam family "Bacterial small subunit ribosomal RNA", at positions 330 to 793 of the family's 1533-position model. The record is from RNAcentral.
GCCAGACUCCUACGGGAGGCAGCAGUGGGGAAUAUUGGGCAAUGGGCGCAAGCCUGACCCAGCAACGCCGCGUGAAGGGAGAAGGCCCUCGGGUUGUAAACUUCUUUUAUCAAGGACGAAACAAAUGACGGUACUUGAUGAAUAAGCCACGGCUAACUACGUGCCAGCAGCCGCGGUCAUACGUAGGAUCCGAGCAUUAUCCGGAGUGACUGGGUGUAAAGGGCUGCGUAGGUGGCAUGAUAAGUAGCUAGUGAAAUCUGGUGGCUCAACCAUUCAGACUAUUAGCUAAACUGUUAAGCUCGAGACUGUUAGGGGUAACUGGAAUUUCUAGUGUAGGAGUGAAAUCCGUAGAUAUUAGAAGGAACACCGAUAGCGUAGGCAGGUUACUGGGACAGUUCUGACACUAAGGCACGAAAGCGUAGGGAGCAAACGGGAUUAGAUACCCUAGUAC